Molecule: ribosomal RNA, 370 nt
Filed under: uncultured organism
Description: partial 16S ribosomal RNA
Rfam family: Bacterial small subunit ribosomal RNA
Source: RNAcentral
GUAGGUGGCAAGCGUUGUCCGGAAUUAUUGGGCGUAAAGCGCGCGCAGGCGGUUCUUUAAGUCUGAUGUGAAAGCCCACGGCUCAACCGUGGAGGGUCAUUGGAAACUGGAGAACUUGAGUACAGAAGAGGAAAGCGGAAUUCCACGUGUAGCGGUGAAAUGCGUAGAGAUGUGGAGGAACACCAGUGGCGAAGGCGGCUUUCUGGUCUGUAACUGACGCUGAGGCGCGAAAGCGUGGGGGAGCAAACAGGAUUAGAUACCCUGGUAGUCCACGCCGUAAACGAUGAGUGCUAAGUGUUAGGGGGUUUCGCCCCUUAGUGCUGCAGCUAACGCAUUAAGCAUUCCGCCUGGGAGUACGGCCGCAAGGCUG